This 1006-nucleotide long non-coding RNA is filed under the name Hordeum vulgare. RNAcentral's name for it is "long non-coding RNA (HVUL_LNC011132)". The stretch from base 300 to 400 matches the Rfam family "MIR528 microRNA precursor family". Lineage: Eukaryota; Viridiplantae; Streptophyta; Magnoliopsida; Poales; Poaceae. The record is from RNAcentral.
CGAGGCCAGUGGCAGUACACCUCCUGGCCCGAAGAAAAUCAGUACUACAAGCCACGUCCACGCCCGUUACUCCACGCUGCUUCCCAUGUGUACUGCACCAACCUGAACCUGUACUGCUGCUGCUGCUUCUUGGUCCUCCAAAGUCCCAAGCGUCGCGCGCCACGGCGAGGGCGAGGCCGGGUACAAAUAGGCCCCCGCCUCCAGCCGACGGAGGCAGCGCCACCGCAGCAGCAGCAGCAGCAGCUGCCGUCUCACCGGCGUCUGCGUUCGUUUGGGUGUUUUUGGCCGGAGCAGCAGCGGUGGAAGGGGCAUGCAGAGGAGCGGCCAUGCAUGGGAGCUUUGCUUUGCUUGCCUCUCCUGCUCUGGGCUCUAGCUCUCUCCUGUGCCUGCCUCUUCCAUUCCUGCCGCUAAUGGCCGGCCGUGUCUCCACGCGAUGAUGAUGGGAGGUUUUCUGCUGGGCGUGCGAUUCCCAAUCCCUGACCGCGCUGUAAGUUCGUCGCCCACGCUCUUGAAAUCCCUGAUUUUUCCUGUGUUUUAACUGCCCGUUUGAUCGUUUCAGCGGACCGUAGUACGGGGUCAUGCUGGGUUUCUUCAUUGACUUGGCCGGCCGUAUCACCAUCUCGUUGGGUGUUGUCUCCAAGUCAUGCAUGGUUUGGUUUGGGAUUUGAUUUGUGGCGUAUUCGUGUUGCUAGUGGCCUAGUACCGGCAUGUGCGCAGCGUUCCAGUCAUCGUUUGUGUGGAAUGGACUCACCCAAAGCUUACAUUGUGCCUCACAUUGAACGCCUUGCAGUCUCAUUCCGUUGGAGUAAUAUGUUGGAGAUCAUUAGCUAUACAAUUGUUUAUCUUCACACACACAAAGUACUGUACCUGAUCUCUUUUAGAUAUUUAAAAAGAAAUAAAUUCCAUGAUGGAAUGGUAAGAUUUUCUUUUUUGAAGAGUACGCCUAGAUGUACCUUAGUUUUAUAAAUACUUACAAGAAACUACACUCGCUGCGAACAGUGAGCAU